GCCCGGAUGGUGUAAAGGCAGCCACGGCCGUCUUAAAAACGGCUGCCCGUGAGGGCGUGCGGGUUCGAGUCCCGCUCCGGGCA
Cryptosporangium aurantiacum is the source of this 83-nucleotide transfer RNA. It matches the Rfam family "tRNA". Rfam says of the family: Transfer RNA (tRNA) molecules are approximately 80 nucleotides in length. Their secondary structure includes four short double-helical elements and three loops (D, anti-codon, and T loops). NCBI's taxonomy places the organism in Bacteria, Bacillati, Actinomycetota, Actinomycetes, Cryptosporangiales, Cryptosporangiaceae. The record is from Rfam.